GCGCACGCUGGCGGCGUGCUUAACACAUGCCAGUCGAACGGAAAGGCCCUGCUUUUGUGGGGUGCUCGAGUGGCGAACGGGUGAGUAACACGUGAGUAACCUGCCCUUGACUUUGGGAUAACUUCAGGAAACUGGGGCUAAUACCGGAUAGGAGCUCCUGCUGCAUGGUGGGGGUUGGAAAGUUUCGGCGGUUGGGGAUGGACUCGCGGCUUAUCAGCUUGUUGGUGGGGUAGUGGCUUACCAAGGCUUUGACGGGUAGCCGGCCUGAGAGGGUGACCGGCCACAUUGGGACUGAGAUACGGCCCAGACUCCUACGGGAGGCAGCAGUGGGGAAUAUUGCACAAUGGGCGGAAGCCUGAUGCAGCAACGCCGCGUGCGGGAUGACGGCCUUCGGGUUGUAAACCGCUUUCGCCUGUGACGAAGCGUGAGUGACGGUAAUAGGUAAAGAAGCACCGGCUAACUACGUG
RNAcentral lists this ribosomal RNA (467 nucleotides) under uncultured bacterium. Its description in RNAcentral is "partial 16S ribosomal RNA". It matches the Rfam family "Bacterial small subunit ribosomal RNA", at positions 30 to 507 of the family's 1533-position model. The record is from RNAcentral.